This 253-nucleotide ribosomal RNA is filed under the name uncultured bacterium. RNAcentral describes it as "partial 16S ribosomal RNA". It matches the Rfam family "Bacterial small subunit ribosomal RNA", at positions 524 to 776 of the family's 1533-position model. The record is from RNAcentral.
UACGGAGGGGGCUAGCGUUGUUCGGAAUUACUGGGCGUAAAGCGCACGUAGGCGGCUUUGUAAGUUAGAGGUGAAAGCCCAGGGCUUAACCCUGGAAUUGCCUUUAAGACUGCAUCGCUAGAAUCGUGGAGAGGUAAGUGGAAUUCCGAGUGUAGAGGUGAAAUUCGUAGAUAUUCGGAAGAACACCAGUGGCGAAGGCGACUUACUGGACACGCAUUGACGCUGAGGUGCGAAAGCGUGGGGAGCAAACAGG